RNAcentral lists this signal recognition particle RNA (299 nucleotides) under Chinchilla lanigera (long-tailed chinchilla). Its description in RNAcentral is "Metazoan signal recognition particle RNA (ENSCLAG00000021451.1)". It matches the Rfam family "Metazoan signal recognition particle RNA". Rfam says of the family: The signal recognition particle (SRP) is a universally conserved ribonucleoprotein. It is involved in the co-translational targeting of proteins to membranes. The eukaryotic SRP consists of a 300-nucleotide 7S RNA and six proteins: SRPs 72, 68, 54, 19, 14, and 9. Lineage: Eukaryota; Metazoa; Chordata; Mammalia; Rodentia; Chinchillidae. The record is from RNAcentral.
GCCGGGCGUGGUGGCGCGCUGCUGUAGUCCGGGCUACUCCGGAUGCUGAGGUGGGAGGAUCGCUUGAGUCCAGGAGUUCUGGGCUGCAGUGUACUAUGCCGAUCACGUGUCCGCACUAGGUUUGGCAUCAAUAGGGUGACCUCUCCGAAGCGGGGGAUCACCAGGUUGCCUAAGGCGGAAUGAACCGGCCCAGGUUGGAAACGGAGCAGGUCAAAACUCCCGCGCUGAUCAGUAGUGGGACUGCACCUGUGAGUAGCCACUGCACUCCAGCCUGGGCAAUACAGUGAGACCCCUUCCCU